RNAcentral lists this ribosomal RNA (497 nucleotides) under uncultured bacterium. RNAcentral describes it as "partial 16S ribosomal RNA". It matches the Rfam family "Bacterial small subunit ribosomal RNA", at positions 28 to 507 of the family's 1533-position model. The record is from RNAcentral.
GAUGAACGCUGGCGACGUGCCUAAUACAUGCAAGUCGAGCGAACAGACGAGGAGCUUGCUCCUCUGACGUUAGCGGCGGACGGGUGAGUAACACGUGGAUAACCUACCUAUAAGACUGGGAUAACUUCGGGAAACCGGAGCUAAUACCGGAUAAUAUAUUGAACCGCAUGGUUCAAUAGUGAAAGACGGUUUUGCUUUCACUUAUAGGUGGAUCCGCGCCGCAUUAGCUAGUUGGUAAGGUAACGGCUUACCAAGGCAACGAUGCGUAGCCGACCUGAGAGGGUGAUCGGCCACACUGGAACUGAGACACGGUCCAGACUCCUACGGGAGGCAGCAGUAGGGAAUCUUCCGCAAUGGGCGAAAGCCUGACGGAGCAACGCCGCGUGAGUGAUGAAGGUCUUCGGAUCGUAAAACUCUGUUAUUAGGGAAGAACAAAUGUGUAAGUAACUAUGCACGUCUUGACGGUACCUAAUCAGAAAGCCACGGCUAACUACGUG